AGGAAAAAAAAACAAAACACUAUCACUAACAGGCCGAGGCAGCAUCACUCACUCAGACACUCACUCCACCCCAAUGCUUUCUCUCUUCUCAGACCUUUACCCUCUUCCAAACAAACAAACAUGCCUCUUCAACUUCAACCCUUCUUCAGGCACAUCAAGCCCCCAAACCAAACCCCCUCCACCAACCUCAUUCCCCCAAAACCCUUAAACCCUCUCCAAACACCCCCUUCUUCUCCUUCUUCACCCCCCAUCGACCAUCUAUACAUUUCACAGCUCCUCUCAAGACCCGAUUGGGCCGUGCUUCUAAACCACGACCUCUCCUCAAAGACUCUACUCCUCAACCCUAGUUACGCCGUAAGCAUCUUCCAGAACCAACAAAACCCCUCCCACGCCAUCAAGUUCCACUCCUGGCUCUCCCACGUCAACCCUACAUUGGCAGCACACAACUCCGUGCACCGCGCCUUGCGGAACACGCUGCACCGAAAAGGCCCCGCGCUUCUCUCCGUCGACUUGCUCCGGGAGCUUCGCAAUUUAGGGUUUCGCGUCACGGAGGACCUGCUCUGCGCUUUGUUAGCAAGUUGGGGAAGGCUAGGUUUAGCAAAUUACUCUGCUCACGUCUUCUGUCAGAUCUCGUUCCUCGGUCUUUCCCCCACCACUAGGUUAUACAAUGCUCUCAUUGAUGCUUUAGUGAAAUCAAAUUCAAUUGACCUUGCUUAUUUGAAGUUCCAACAGAUGGCGGCGGAUAAUUGUGUUGCCGAUAGGUUUACGUACAACACACUCAUUCACGGGGUUUGCAAGGUUGGGGUGGUCGAUGAGGCGCUCCGGUUAGUUAGACAAAUGAAGGAUAAGGGACAUUUUCCUAAUGUGUUCACUUAUACAAUGCUGAUUGAAGGGUUCUGUAUCGCGAGCAGGGUUGAUGAGGCCUUUGGAGUUUUUGAGACAAUGAAGGAUAGUGGGGUUUAUCCAAAUGAAGCCACUGUAAGAGCAUUGGUUCACGGGGUUUUUCGCUGCGUGGAUCCUAGUAAGGCACUUGAGUUGUUAUCUGAGUUUUUAGAUAGGGAGCAGGAGCAGGAGCGCGUUCAUUUUAUGUUAGCUUGCGAUACUGUGUUGUAUUGCCUUGCAAAUAAUUCUAUGGCGAAGGAGAUGGUUGUGUUUCUGAGGAGGGUUCUGGGAAGAGGAGGUUAUUUCCCUGGUAACUCUGUUUUCAAUGUCGUAAUGGCUUGUUUGGUUAAGGGAGCUGAGCUGAGAGAGACGUGUGAUGUAUUUGAAAUUUUAAGAAAGCAAGGUGUGAAGGCAGGCAUUGGUGCUUUUCUUGCGCUUAUUGAAGUAUUAUACAAGAAUGAAUGGAGAGAGGAGGGGGAUCGAGUUUAUGGUCAAUUGAUUAGUGAUGGGCUAAUUUCAAAUGUCUUCUCAUAUAACAUGAUAAUUAAUUGCUUCUGCAGAGCCAAAUUGAUGGAUAAUGCGUCUGAGGCUUUCAGAGACAUGCAGGUUAGAGGCGUUGUUCCCAAUCUUGUUACUUUCAAUACACUUAUUAAUGGCCAUUGCAAGGAUGGAGCAAUAGAUAAGGCACGGAAGCUUCUGGAGAGCCUUUUAGAAAAUGGACUUAAACCUGAUAUCUUCACUUUUAGCUCUAUAGUUGAUGGACUCUGUCAAAUAAAAAGGACCGAGGAAGCUCUUGAAUGCUUUACUGAGAUGAUUGAGUGGGGCAUCAAUCCAAAUGCCGUCAUUUACAAUAUCUUGAUUCGAUCUUUAUGCACCAUCGGGGAUGUUGCAAGGUCAGUGAAACUUUUAAGAAGAAUGCAAAAGGAAGGAAUAAGCCCUGACACCUACUCCUAUAAUGCUUUGAUUCAAAUCUUCUGUAGGAUGAAUAAAGUUGAGAAAGCUAAAAAGCUUUUUGAUUCAAUGUCAAGAUCUGGCUUAAAUCCAGACAAUUACACUUACAGUGCUUUUAUAGAGGCACUGUCUGAAUCUGGGAGAUUAGAGGAAGCCAAGAAGAUGUUUUACUCAAUGGAGGCAAAUGGUUGCUCACCCGACUCAUAUAUAUGUAACCUAAUUAUUAAAAUAUUGGUUCAACAGGAAUAUGUUGAAGAGGCUCAAAACAUCAUAGAAAGGUGCAGACAGAAGGGAAUAUCUUUAAAUUCUAUUCCUAAUUUGUAGACUAGUUUUCCGCUAAUUUUUAGGAUGCUGCUACAUUAUUGAGCUUUUGAAAUUGAAGAGGGUGCAGGUAAGAGGGUACAGGUAUGUUAGAUUAUAAAGUUCUGUUGAUAUUGAGAUCUCGUUAUAUGGUGGGUCACAGAUUAUUUAUGCAAAUGUAUGCAUGUACUUUUUGGCCAUUUCAACACAAAAAUAAAGAAUACAAUAAGAAAUUUACUUUCUCCUUAUUAUUUGGUCACUUUCCUUUCAUCAUCAUCCUUAGUGGUUUUGAUGGUGGCAGCUUGGUUAACAUGUUAUACCAUGCUUCCACUGUUGCUGGAUUUAACUUACAAAUUGUGCUGUUUUUCUGGAAUCCACAAACAAUGCCCUUUUCCAUCGUUGUCUCCAUUAAUGGAGUAAUAUCGUUCGCUUUACAAGCACUGUGGUCGAAUUGGGGAGGCUGGGUCAGCCCAUGACAGCCAGGGCUCCAUCUUUCAUAGCUACCCAACCCAUCCUGUGUGUGGAAGAACACGAAUUUGGUGUCAGUCUCAUGACAGGACAACCCAAGAUAUCAAGUUUUUUGGCCAUAGGCCCUUUUGGCAGUCUCUUAUGAUGUUAGUAGUUUUAGUACUAUUAUUAUGGGUGUAUAUCUUACACAUUUCCCUUAAUCAAUGUAAUAUAUUAUUUCUCUCUUGUCCUCAUUUUUCACUUUUCCCCAUACUUUCAACUGGUCCCAUACAUCUUUCCCCAUAAUAGCAAACAAUUGCAGCCCUAUAUGAUCCCGAAAAUCCACUAGGAAACCCUGAAUGAAUAUUAAAGGAAAAUAAAGCAUUUUACUCAGAUUAGAUUAUUUUAGUUUCUUCUUCCUUUUGACCCAAAUGGUAAAUUUUGACACUAUUUUCAACCAUAAAUUCUUACAAAAUUAAUAUAUUUAUGAUCUAGACACAUUUCCAGAUGUUUUCCUAUUAUUCCUUUCAUGUAUUCCCUGUUGAUAUUGAUCCUAUCAAAUAUCAUUGUCAAACACAUUUUAUUGAGUUGAACUGGUCAGAGUCUAGAUCAGCUUGCUUUUGAAGUUCUAACAAAUGGAUUACCCUUGAAGCAUUUGCAUGAAUGUUCAUCUUCUAAGACCAUAUUUACAAAACUAGUAUUUAUUUUAUAUUUUUACUCUUUGAUGUAGGCACCCUUUGCUAUAGGAAGUUAUUCCCUUAUUCGUUGUGAGAGGGAAGGAUGUGGGUGGUAGCUACUUCUAGAGUUAAUGUUUGCAUUCUAUUAUGUCUUUAGGGACAUUAAUCAUCUGAGAUGAAGAUGCUAGGCAUAAAUGGACUUCUAAUUUCCCAAAGAGCGUUUCAAUGAAAUCAUGCAGCCAAGCUCUAUGUUUAAUUACGAUAUAUCUAUUCUGCAUGUUUUCUCUUUUGAACAGAUUGAAAAUUAUUAUUUUUGCUGCUUGGUGAAAUAUACUUUUACUGUUAAAAUUAGUUUGAACAUGAAGUCUGCUGAACUGGAUGUGACAUUGUGAUAUUACUAAAAUUUUCAGUGUGAGGAUUAUCAAUGUAACCUUUCUUUUGUUCAUUGCAGGUUGAGUAUGGCAGGUUUCUUAAUUGCCUGAAUUUUUUCAACUUCUUUCUCAAUUUUGUGUGGCAAAUAUAAUAGCUAUAUGGACCUUGAAAGCUUUAAUAAGCAAUAUUUGAGUUGAAGAGGUGGUCAUGACGUGACUUGCCAUCUUAGUUUUCCAAGAGAUUGAUUAACACUUUCGGAAAGCGUACGGCAGCACUAGCAAAAAAAGCAUUGUCACAUCAACUGUCGUUACAAGGGAUUUUGGAUUUCAAUCAUAAUGCAAGUUGGUUUUUAAUCUUUCAUUCAGUGGCUUAGUGGCUAUUUCUUGAGCAAUAACUAGGAACAAGCCCUGGCAACUCCUUUAAUGCUUUGAUUCAAAUAUUCUGUGGGAUGAUUGAUGAAUAAAAAGCUAAAAAGCUUUUUGAUUCAAUGUCAAGAUCUGGCUUGAAUCCGGACAAUUACACUUACAAUGCUUUAUGGUGUGCGUCUGAAUCUGGGAGAUUAGAGGAAGCCGAGAAGAUGUUUUACUCGAUGCAGGAAAAUGGUUGCUCUCCCGAUUCAUAUGUAUAACUUAAUUAUUAUUAAAAUAUUGAUUCGGCAGGACUAUGUUGAAGAGGCACGAAACAUCAUAGAAAGAUGUUGAUAGAAGGGAAUGUCUUUAAAUUCUAUUCCUAAUUUGUUGAUCAAUUUUCUACUAGUUUUUAGGAUGCUGUUUACAUUAUUGAGCGUUUGAAAGUGAAGAUAUUGAUUCCGGGAUACAGGUACCUCAGAUAUAAAAGCUCUGUUGACAUGAAGAUUUUAUAUGGUGGGACACAAGAAUUAUUUAUGCACAUAUAUGUAUGUAGUUUUUGGUCAUUUCAACACAAAUAAAAAAUACAAUAAGAGCUUGGUAUA
This is an RNA transcript of Glycine soja, 4581 nucleotides long. It is a transcript of the gene named putative pentatricopeptide repeat-containing protein At3g16890, mitochondrial, with no coding region annotated. The transcript is spliced from 2 exons. Lineage: Eukaryota; Viridiplantae; Streptophyta; Magnoliopsida; Fabales; Fabaceae. The record is from RefSeq and is a predicted model, not a curated record.